RNAcentral lists this ribosomal RNA (403 nucleotides) under Vibrio cholerae. Its description in RNAcentral is "partial 23S ribosomal RNA". It matches the Rfam family "Bacterial large subunit ribosomal RNA", at positions 1 to 449 of the family's 2925-position model. The record is from RNAcentral. Lineage: Bacteria; Pseudomonadati; Pseudomonadota; Gammaproteobacteria; Vibrionales; Vibrionaceae.
UGUAUGGUUAAGUGACUAAGCGUACACGGUGGAUGCCUGGGCAGUCAGAGGCGAUGAAGGACGUACUAACUUGCGAUAAGCGCAGAUAAGGCAGUAAGAGCCGUUUGAGUCUGCGAUUUCCGAAUGGGGAAACCCAACUGCAUAAGCAGUUACUGUUAACUGAAUACAUAGGUUAACAGAGCAAACCGGGGGAACUGAAACAUCUAAGUACCCCGAGGAGAAGAAAUCAACCGAGAUUCCGGUAGUAGCGGCGAGCGAACCUGGAUUAGCCCUUAAGCACUCGGUGAAGUAGGUGAACAAGCUGGAAAGCUUGGCGAUACAGGGUGAUAGCCCCGUAACCGACGCUUCAUCGAGCGUGAAAUCGAGUAGGGCGGGACACGUGAUAUCCUGUCUGAAUAUGGGG